AGUCACUGACAUUAGAUACCCGGGUAGUCCUAGGCGUAAAUGAUGCGAGUUAAGUNUGGGGGCAUCUACGAGAUGGCCCUGUGCUGUAGGGUAGCCGUUAAACUCGCUGCCUGGGGAGUACGGUCCCAAGGCUGAAACUUAAAGGAAUUGCGGGGAGCACCACAAGACGGUGGAGGCUGCGGUUCAAUUGGACUCAACGCCGGAAAACUCAUCGGGAGCGACAGCAGUAUGAUUGCCAGGUUGAUGACCUUGCUUGACAAGCUG
This 264-nucleotide ribosomal RNA is filed under the name uncultured archaeon. Its description in RNAcentral is "partial 16S ribosomal RNA". It matches the Rfam family "Archaeal small subunit ribosomal RNA", at positions 719 to 982 of the family's 1478-position model. The record is from RNAcentral.